This is an RNA transcript of Magnolia sinica, 2002 nucleotides long. RefSeq lists it as uncharacterized. The record is from RefSeq and is a predicted model, not a curated record. The transcript has 3 exons. NCBI's taxonomy places the organism in Eukaryota, Viridiplantae, Streptophyta, Magnoliopsida, Magnoliales, Magnoliaceae.
CUCUGCUAUUCACUCAUUAGGUAAACAAAAAAAUCAAAAUCAAAAUUUGUAAGUUUUCAUCUCCGCCCUUCAUUUCCCAUUCCUUUUUUUUUUUUUUUUUUAAAAAUUUCUGAAAAAAGAAAGGAAAAAAGGAAGAAGAGGAUGUUCCAUUUCCUUCAUUACAGAAAGCUCCUCCAAAUCAACAUUCAAACACUCCAAAUCCAAUCCCUACAAAAUCCAUUUCUAAAAUCCCAUUCCCAAACAAACCCUCCUUCUCCUUUCAUACAAUACCUCAAAAACUCAUGUGGGUUCUCACCAGAAAAGGCUCUAACAGUCUCUAAAAUGCUAAAACGCACCCCCAAGAACCCAGAUUCUGUCCUCACCUUCUUCAAAUCUCAUGGGUUCUCAGAAGCUCACAUCAAAUCCAUCAUCAACAGAGUCCCGCAACUCCUCUUCGCCAUCCCCAAGUCCAGCUUAAGUCCCAAGAUCCAAUUCUUCAUAGAGAAGGGCCUCUCCGAAUCCGAUGUCGUGGCACUCAUAGUUUCAAAUCCCCACAUCUUGGCCCCCAGCCUUGAUAGAAGUAUAAAACCCGUGUUUGAUUUCAUCCGCAGCUAUUUGGGCACUGACAGAUUUGUGAUUGAAUUGCUCAAGCGGUCCAAGUUGACAUUUAAUCUCCGUAACUUAGUGAGCAAUGUCGCCGUUUUGAAGAACUAUGGCAUCCCGAAUUGUCACAUUUCAAUAUGUCUUGCGAAACAUCCAAUGGCGUUGUUGCUAAACCCUGAUCGGUUUAAUGAGAAGGUGAAGAUGGUUACAGAAAUGGGGUUCAAUCCAUCAACAUUUAUGUUCGUGGAGGCGGUCCGUGUGAUGGUAAGUCUAAGCCGUUCGAUGUGGGACAUGAAAUUCGAGGUGUAUAGGAGCUUGGGGUGGUCUGAUGAGGAGAUAUUGAUUGCCUUCCGGAAGCACCCGAACUGUAUUAUGAUAUCGGAGGAGAAGAUUAGGAAGGGGAUAGAUUUCUUUGUCAAGGAGUUAGGUUGGAGUACUUCUUACAUUUUGAGCUAUCCGGUCCUUCUCUCGCUUAGCAUGGAGAAAAGAGUCAUGCCCAGGUAUAGGUUUCUGCAAGUUUUGGAGUCAAAGGGCCUAAUUAGUAAUGAUGAGAAGAAGUUAGCGUGGAGUUUUAAUAUGAGCCGGAAGCAGUUCUUGGAGAAGUAUGUGAUGAAGCACCAGGCAAAGGUUCCAGAGAUAUUGAAGGUUUAUGAGGCCAUGAUCGAAUCAAAGGGACUGAGUAUCAAGGAUGGAAAAGAGUAAAUUUCAACCUUUUAUUGAGGUUGUGUUUGGUUCCGGAGAUAUUGAAGGUUUAUGAGGUCAUGAUCGAAUCAAAGGCACUGAGUAUCAAGGAUGGAGAAAAGUGUGAGCAGACAUCUUCAAAGCUUGCAGAAGGCUUCUCAUGAUUCUUGGCUCGCCGGGAGGUGGUUGGUCUUUCAAGGGUCCGUUCCUCACUGCCUGAAAGAAUGGUCCAGAUUCUUUGGUUUCAGCAAAGACCAAACAGUCAAUGUACACACAUACCUCAGUCAUCCCAUCUUCCACCUUGAUGAAUCCCAGUCUCACUCCACCUUUGAUUUUAUCGACCUUCAACGGCACAGGAAGCGGCAGAUUCGCUCCCUGACAUAGGCUGUUGGCCCACUGGAAGAGCAAUGUCUCGAAUCUCCCCACGUCAGUGUCCGGUGGGAGCUUCAUGGUGCCUAGAGAAACGCCUUCGCUGUCGUCUUCGGGCCCCACAAUGUUGUCAUUUCUCACCGACGAGGCCUUUGGUGGUGCAGUCGCCGGAAUUCGACGGUUGGAUAAUGUGCACAGGUUAGAGAAUGGGCCCUUGUGGGUGUUGCAGACUGAGGUGAAGUUGAGGUGGGGUGAAGGGAGGGAGACUGGCACGUGCAAGGUGGCACGUGUGAAGUGGAGGAGUUGCCUUGCAGCAGCCAUGGCUUGUGAGAAAACAAAAGUGGAAAACUGAGGUAUUUUGUUUAUGUGA